Molecule: transfer RNA, 85 nt
Filed under: Thermoplasmatales archaeon
Lineage: Archaea; Methanobacteriati; Thermoplasmatota; Thermoplasmata; Thermoplasmatales
Description: tRNA-Leu
Rfam family: tRNA
About the family: Transfer RNA (tRNA) molecules are approximately 80 nucleotides in length. Their secondary structure includes four short double-helical elements and three loops (D, anti-codon, and T loops).
Source: RNAcentral
GCAGGGGUAGCCAAGCUAGGCCAACGGCGCAGGACUUAAGAUCCUGUGGUGAAGUCCUUCGGGGGUUCAAAUCCCUCCCCCUGCA